Molecule: transfer RNA, 103 nt
Filed under: Lentinula boryana
Lineage: Eukaryota; Fungi; Basidiomycota; Agaricomycetes; Agaricales; Omphalotaceae
Description: tRNA-Thr
Rfam family: tRNA
About the family: Transfer RNA (tRNA) molecules are approximately 80 nucleotides in length. Their secondary structure includes four short double-helical elements and three loops (D, anti-codon, and T loops).
Source: RNAcentral
GCCUUCUUAGCUCAGUGGUAGAGCGUUGCACUUGUAUAACAUACGACCAAUCCAACUUGGUACAUUAAUGCAAAGGUCAGUCGUUCAAUCCGGCUAGGAGGCA